Molecule: transfer RNA, 67 nt
Filed under: Echinochasmus japonicus
Lineage: Eukaryota; Metazoa; Platyhelminthes; Trematoda; Plagiorchiida; Echinochasmidae
Description: tRNA-Lys
Source: RNAcentral
CCGGGAAUAGCUUAAUGUUUGGAAAGCUUAGAAUUCUUACUUCUACGAUGUUGUUGAACUUCUUGGA